This 23-nucleotide unclassified non-coding RNA is filed under the name Mus musculus (house mouse). RNAcentral's name for it is "oocyte_clustered_small_RNA3893". The record is from RNAcentral. Lineage: Eukaryota; Metazoa; Chordata; Mammalia; Rodentia; Muridae.
UGUCAGGUUCUUUCCCUAGGGUU